Caenorhabditis elegans is the source of this 2093-nucleotide RNA transcript. It is a transcript of the gene named Non-coding transcript of protein-coding gene kcmf-1, with no coding region annotated. Lineage: Eukaryota; Metazoa; Nematoda; Chromadorea; Rhabditida; Rhabditidae. The record is from RefSeq and is marked reviewed. The transcript has 9 exons.
AUGGUGACUCCUCUUACUGGCACACACGAGGGUGUAUCGUGUGAUGGGUGUGCUUUCACCGCGUUUGCUGGAAACCGUUACAAAUGCCUACGAUGCAGUGAUUACGAUCUCUGCUUCAGUUGUUUUACCACAAAGAACUACGGAGACCAGCAAACAAUAGCUGAUAUCCCAAUACACGACGAGUCCCAUCCAAUGCAGUUAAUUUUGAGCUCUGUGGACUUUGACCUCGUAUACCAAGGCGACCCUACGCGACAUUAUGACGAACGGAAAAUUGUUUCCUUCACUUGUCCGUAUUGUAAUAUAACAGGAUUGACCGAACGGCAAUUUGGGACACAUGUACUUUCACAACAUCCGGAGGCUCCGGGCUACAGUGUGAUAUGCCCGCUUUGUAUUGGAAACACAGAGAUGGAGCACAUUCAAUCGAAAGAAACUGAAAAUUUGAGCGUACAUUGGACAGAGAUUCAUCUUCAUACAAUGGAAAACCUAUUUCGUUCAACUGAACCAAUAACUACUCGCCCAGUUCAGCGACGUCCAAUGUUAGCAAGAAGAGGAAAUCGAGCAGGAGUGUCACGAACAGCAGCACAAGGAAGGCCUUUACAGGACGAAAUAGAGAUGAUGACCGUACCGUUAUUGCCUGGAAUUCGAAGUUCGCAACGAUUAAUGACAAGUACUGGUGACCGACCGACUGUUGUUGUAGAAAGUGCCGUGACACAUCAAGAUCCGAAUGUUCAGCAAGUCAUAAGGCCAUUGGCAACUAUUCCGAUUUAUCCUCCGACUUCUGACGAAUCAGGAGACGAGACUCCUCAGCCAGCAGCAGAUUCUGCAGAUGAAUCAGAAGAUGAUAAUGAUAUUCAAGAGUUGGAUGACAUGCAACCUGUGAGUUUUUCUCGAGAAAAAUAUAGUUUUUUCGUUUACUUGAAUUUGUUAAAAAUACCGUCAGUCGGGAAAUUGCUAGAAACCAAUUCGAGCGCUGAAAUGAAUAAAUAUAAUAUAACGUUCAUUUAAAUUUUCGAGCGAAAAAGCGAUAAUUAAUCAGUUUUUGUAACUCUUAAUUUUGAAACUCGACCAUCAAGCAAGUUUUUAAAAAAAUACUAGGAUACCUGGAAUGUUUAGAUUUUGUUAGUGUAUUUAGACACAAUCCCCAUUGGAACUACAUCAAUCUGAACAACAUCGAAAAAAUAAACUUGUAAUGUUUAUUUUAAUCGUUUUCGAAAAUAUCCCGUUUGACGUCUUAAAAUUGAAACUAGGUUAAUCGAAGGAUUAAUCUUUACGAAGAUUAAACAAAUGCAUAUUUGACAUUUCCAAUUAAGAUCGUCGAGGAUGAAGCUUUAAAAAAGGACGAAUUCUGGAAAACACUGAAAACAAGAAUAAGCGAGGAAGAUGUUGACUUGAUACUGGAAACUAUGAAAUCAACUGCAAAAGUGAAAGAAGAUAUAGAUGAUAAGAUGCCUGUUUGGACACAGCGUCCCUUAAAACGAUUAGCAAAUGCUGCUCAAGUGACGACUACGUCUGAUUCCGAAGGUGAUCCGGGUUGGUUGCCACUUUCAUUCGAAACAACUCCAAUUCGAUCAACUGGAUGUGGAGGUUAUUGGUCUGACAAACGAUUUCUUCGACCCAGAAAAAUGCAACGUGAGCAAUCUGUAGCUAGUUCGAAUGCUGAAAUUAUGGAAAAAGCUGAAAUCGCGUUGGCUCUGAUACGAGCUUCUUGCCUUCAUGAGCCCGUUUUUACUGAUCCAACAAAGCCUGAUAUCGCAUUAAAGGAGGCUCUCCAGCAUCUACGGCUAGGAGAAAAACCGGCAAAAAUGAUGGAAUAUCAAGCAGCGGAGGAACUUGUCAAUAUGCCGGAACGAGACCCAAUUACCACUGGAGAAAUGGAAGUUGAAAUUCCCGAUUUUACAGCGAGAGGAUAUGGACAAAUUGUAGACGGAAAUAUUCCACUUGGUGUCGUUCCAGAGGCUGAUGAGGCCAUAACAAAUUCUGAAGAUGAAGAAAUUGUCGGAGGAGAAACAUCUGGAGACGACGAGGACGAACAAGAAGACGAUGAGAAUGACAGUCAGGAUAGUUCAGUUCCAGAGGAAAUUAACAUUGAUUGA